GGUACGUAUGGCUCUCUCAUGCAGUCGAGCGGAACGACAACAUUGACCCUUCGGGUGAUUUGUUGGGCGUCGAGCGGCGGACGGGUGAGUAAUGCCUGGGAAAUUGCCCUGAUGUGGGGGAUAACCAUUGGAAACGAUGGCUAAUACCGCAUAACGUCUACGGACCAAAGAGGGGGACCUUCGGGCCUCUCGCUUCAGGAUAUGCCCAGGUGGGAUUAGCUAGUUGGUGAGGUAAUGGCUCACCAAGGCGACGAUCCCUAGCUGGUCUGAGAGGAUGAUCAGCCACACUGGAACUGAGACACGGUCCAGACUCCUACGGGAGGCAGCAGUGGGGAAUAUUGCACAAUGGGCGCAAGCCUGAUGCAGCCAUGCCGCGUGUAUGAAGAAGGCCUUCGGGUUGUAAAGUACUUUCAGUCGUGAGGAAGGCGUUGAAGUUAAUAGCUUCAUCGUUUGACGUUAGCGACAGAAGAAGCACCGGCUAACUCCGUGCCAGCAGCCGCGGUAAUACGGAGGGUGCGAGCGUUAAUCGGAAUUACUGGGCGUAAAGCGCAUGCAGGUGGUUUGUUAAGUCAGAUGUGAAAGCCCGGGGCUCAACCUCGGAACCGCAUUUGAAACUGGCAGGCUAGAGUACUGUAGAGGGGGGGUAGAAUUUCAGGGUGUAGCG
RNAcentral lists this ribosomal RNA (664 nucleotides) under Vibrio sp. MR06-70. Its description in RNAcentral is "bacterial SSU rRNA". It matches the Rfam family "Bacterial small subunit ribosomal RNA", at positions 41 to 680 of the family's 1533-position model. Lineage: Bacteria; Pseudomonadati; Pseudomonadota; Gammaproteobacteria; Vibrionales; Vibrionaceae. The record is from RNAcentral.